ACAGCAGUAACAUGAAUCUGUUUUAGGAUCUUCAAUAAUGGAAGAAGUGGUGAAACUUUAAUACUAUUCUAAAGUGAGUUCAGGGAUUGGGCACAAGAGAGAAGGUACACUGGUAAAUAAGCCCAAAUCUCUGGAGUCUGAGAAAAUGGAAAAAAUGGAGAACACCAAAACUUGUCCAGGACCCAAAGGAGACCUGAUGGCUUAAGAAGCAGAGGACAGUGCCUUGCCAGCAGCCCUGCACAGCUUCUCCCAGGGUAGAGGACGGCGCCUUGCCAGCAGCCCUGCACAACUUCUCCCAGGGUAGAGGACGGCGCCUUGCCAGCAGCCCUGCACAGCUUCUCCCAGGGUAGAGGACGGCGCCUUGCCAGCAGCCCUGCACAGCUUCUCCCAGGGUAGAGGACAGCACCUUGCCAGCAGCCCUGCACGGCUUCUCCCAGGGUUCGCAGUGUUCCUGGAGAUUACGGGCCAGGCGACAACACUAGCGGUUCUACACCCUCAAAGUGGCUGCUUUUUCAUAGAGAAAUACAACCUGGGUCUCUGAUUCAUUUUGAAUCCGUUUUUAUAUACGGUGUGAGGAUAAUAGGAAGUUUAUAUGCCAUUGAAGAGGCAGAGAGGAGCUGCAGCAUGUAUUCACAACUCAGAACUCGUCCUGUGAAGGAGGAAAACGAUGCCCCUUAGACCGAAGAAUUAAGAGAUGACUUACAUUUGAAAAACCACCCACAGCUGCACGUUGAUGUGUGUCUCUGAGCCUGGAGCCUGUAUGUGUUGUCAUCUUUGAAAGGAAAACCUCCAGUAUUCUGACAAGGAAGGGAUAUGAUGCCAAACAUCCACAAGAAGAUUCACAAAUCAAAAUGAGACCACCAAAGACAGCACUCUUCAAACUGGCCCUCCCUUAAGGUUGCAUUUACAGGCUUGCUCUUUCUCUUUUCUUUGUCCUCAGCUGCUUGUCAUGAGAUGUAGAUUAUUGUGGUGGAUAGAAUAAAAUGCACUGGGAAGGAAUAUAAAAGAUAUUAAAAUAUAAGC
Macaca mulatta (Rhesus monkey) is the source of this 1023-nucleotide non-coding RNA. NCBI's taxonomy places the organism in Eukaryota, Metazoa, Chordata, Mammalia, Primates, Cercopithecidae. The record is from RefSeq and is a predicted model, not a curated record.